This 1065-nucleotide long non-coding RNA is filed under the name Phascolarctos cinereus (koala). Its description in RNAcentral is "lncRNA (ENSPCIG00000037049.1)". The record is from RNAcentral. Lineage: Eukaryota; Metazoa; Chordata; Mammalia; Diprotodontia; Phascolarctidae.
CCUCCUGACCUCAUCACAUCUGGGAUAAAGUCAGCUAUGACCUGGAGUGUGGCCAGAAUGUUAGAACAGACAGCCUUUGACAGCUGAGAUAUGCAACUGAGCAACAAGUCUCAGGGUGACACAGUCUGGGGUGGGCUCUCUUCACCCGGCUCUGGGCUCCUGAGUUCUGCAGCGUGCGUGAGGAGCCCCACGGUGCUUGUUUCCUGGAUGGGCCACGUCCUGCUGCCUGACACGUCCUGUCCUGUCCUGUCCCAUCCCGUGCUAUCGUGAUGGAGUCUGGAGUCAAGAUGGAAGAGAGACAAGCAGGGGCGUGGCUGUGACCCAGUCCCACCGGCACCUCAUCUUCCUGAGAGGCAGCUUUGCAGUGGGAAGAGGCCCAGGCUAGGGGCCAGGAGACCUGGAGUCUUUCUAGUCCUGACUCUGGGUGACCCAUGGCAAGAUCUUUCUCCUUUCCCAACUUCAGUUUCUCCAUCUGGAUUUGGAGUCAGAAGACUUGGGUUAGCCAUAGUAGCUGUCACUUAAUCCCUCUGGGUCUCAGUUUCCUUAUUUGUAAAUUGAAUGGGUUGGCCUAGUUGAUUUCUAGGGUUCAUUCUGGUUCUAGAACCUAUGAACUAGAUGAAAAGAUUUUGAACAGAGGUCUGGGAACUUGGGGUUUUUAAAAAAUUUUUAUUAAUUUAUUUUGAUUUAUCAACAAUCACUUCCAUAUGCUUUUGAGUUUAAAAUUUUUCUCCCCCUUCCUCCCUACUACCCUCCCCAAGACGGUGCACAAUCUGAUAUAGGCUAUACAUUUACAUUGGGAACUUGGUUUGUAAAAAUAUUUCAAUAACUGUAUUUCAAUAUAAUUAGUUUCCUUGGUAAUCCUAUGUAUGUUAUGCUUUUAAAAGUCUCAUUCUGGGGGCAGCUAGGUUGCACAGUGGAUAGAGCACUGGCCCUGAAGCCAGGAGGACCUGAGUUCAAAUCUGGCCUCAGACCAAACACUUGACACUUACUAGCUAUGUGACCCUGGGCAAGUCACUUAAUCCCAAUUGCCUUAAAAUAAAAAGUCUUAUUCUGAGAAUGGGUCCA